CCUACGGGUGGCAGCAGUGGGGAAUAUUGCACAAUGGGGGAAACCCUGAUGCAGCGACGCCGCGUGAGUGAAGAAGUAUUUCGGUACGUAAAGCUCUAUCAGCAGGGAAGAAAAUGACGGUACCUGACUAAGAAGCCCCGGCUAACUACGUGCCAGCAGCCGCGGUAAUACGUAGGGGGCAAGCGUUAUCCGGAUUUACUGGGUGUAAAGGGAGCGUAGACGGCAGCGCAAGUCUGGAGUGAAAUCCCAUGGCUUAACCAGUGAACUGCUUUGGAAACUGUGCAGCUAGAGUGCAGGAGAGGUAAGCGGAAGUCCUAGUGUAGCGGUGAAAUGCGUAGAUAUUAGGAGGAACACCAGUGGCGAAGGCGGCUUACUGGACUGUAACUGACGUUGAGGCUCGAAAGCGUGGGGAGCAAACAGGAUUAGAUACCCUGGUAGUC
Molecule: ribosomal RNA, 440 nt
Filed under: uncultured bacterium
Lineage: Bacteria
Description: partial 16S ribosomal RNA
Rfam family: Bacterial small subunit ribosomal RNA
Source: RNAcentral